RNAcentral lists this ribosomal RNA (495 nucleotides) under uncultured bacterium. RNAcentral's name for it is "partial 16S ribosomal RNA". It matches the Rfam family "Bacterial small subunit ribosomal RNA", at positions 28 to 507 of the family's 1533-position model. The record is from RNAcentral.
GAUGAACGCUGGCGGCGUGCCUAAUACAUGCAAGUCGAGCGAACAGACGAGGAGCUUGCUCCUCUGACGUUAGCGGCGGACGGGUGAGUAACACGUGGAUAACCUACCUAUAAGACUGGGAUAACUUCGGGAAACCGGAGCUAAUACCGGAUAAUAUAUUGAACCGCAUGGUUCAAUAGUGAAAGACGGUUUUGCUGUCACUUAUAGAUGGAUCCGCGCCGCAUUAGCUAGUUGGUAAGGUAACGGCUUACCAAGGCAACGAUGCGUAGCCGACCUGAGGGUGAUCGGCCACACUGGAACUGAGACACGGUCCAGACUCCUACGGGAGGCAGCAGUAGGGAAUCUUCCGCAAUGGGCGAAAGCUUGACGGAGCAACGCCGCGUGAGUGAUGAAGGUCUUCGGAUCGUAAAACUCUGUUAUUAGGGAAGAACAAUUGUGUAAGUAACUAUGCACGUCUUGACGGUACCUAAUCAGAAAGCCACGGCUAACUACGUG